Halichondria panicea is the source of this 1340-nucleotide long non-coding RNA. RefSeq lists it as uncharacterized. The transcript is spliced from 2 exons. NCBI's taxonomy places the organism in Eukaryota, Metazoa, Porifera, Demospongiae, Suberitida, Halichondriidae. The record is from RefSeq and is a predicted model, not a curated record.
UACAUGCACAUAACCAUGUGUAAAAAUAAUUAUUGUUUUGCUUAAUAUUUAGAUGUCACCUCAGAGGAAAGUACUUAUUGCAGUGCAAGUCAUCCAAGCCAUUGCUUUCUGCCACUCAAGGAAUCCACCGCUUGUCCACAGAGACAUAAAACCAGCUAACAUACUUGUGGAGGAAGGAUCAAUGCGAGUAUACUUGGGUGAUUUCGGCUUAACCCGUAUCUGAACGGGUAUGGUUAGUACCAGAACAUCAACAAAUGGUGGUACACCGGGUUUCCAAUCACCCGAAGUCCUCCAGUCAGGUAAAAGCUGCGAUAUAUAUGCUGUUGCCAUGGGUGUGUUUUCAUCGAGCUUUUUGGUGGUACCCCAGUAUGGGGGAAACUCCCACUUUUGACAAUUUUGACAAAUUAAUGUGGCAGUUAAAGGUAAAGCACCUGAAACUAACCAUAUGCAGUUAAAACUAUAUGUGAUGACUGUAUACAAUACAAUCCAGCUCUGAGACCUAAGGCCAGUGCUAUUCUGAGAAGGCUCUUAACUCUUGCGUAAAUAAACUGUUAUACACUGAUCAACUAUAUAUACACAUACAUGUUAUAGUUAAACAAUGGCCUCGAGUGGUAUAUUUGAUUUACACGCGAGAGUAAUCUGAUAAACCACAAGGCGCAGCCGAGUUGGUUCAUCUGAUUACUCGAGCGUGUAAAGCAAAUAUACCAGAGGCCAUAGUUUAACUGGCUUGUACUAUGUUUAGAACUGUACUACUAUGUUUAGCUACUUCCUGUCAUGCUUCUUCAAUGAAUAUGCUUAUAACUACUGUUUGACAUCACUGUUGCUAUAGCUAUGCAAUGAAUUUGCUAUUUUUUUUAAAAGCGAUGGCUGAUUCAAGCAAGCAAUUGUGAAGGCUGUGUUUCUGCAUCUUUAUAGAAGGCACUUCAAGAAAGUACACUGGUGCUACUUGUCUACAAAGAGUGCAAAUGUACCCCAAAAUAUCAUUCCACAAGCCUACUGUACUGGCCCAGUGCAGUGCAGUCUCUUUAGUCUGAGAAACACUUGGCAGUCUGGACCCUUCUUACUGCUCCUGGUCCCAUGCAGCAAUGUAAUAAGCAGGUUGUGACAACCAAUGUUAAAAGUUGAAAAAAAGCAACACAAACAAACCAGUAUCGUUCGAUUCACGAUCACGGAGUUCUUUGAAAUUUGCCUCCUUUUUGGAACUAUUCAUCGCUCGAACUUGGCUCUUUUUAUGUUGACUAAAAUCAUUAGUAGUCUGUUUUGUAUUGAAUUCUCUCUAACUCUAAUAUUGCUAAUAAUUAUUGAUUGAAUUGAGUAGUGUGUCAUUGUUUUAAUUGAAA